GCAAACGCCGGGGAAGCAGCGGGGGGAAUACGGGGGGGGCAAGCGGUAAUUGGAAGUACUGGGCGUAAAGCGUGCGCAGGCGGCUUAUUAAGUCAGAUGUGAAAUCCCUAGGCUCAACCUAGGAACUGCAUUUGAAACUAAUAAACUAGAGUAUCGUAGAGGGAGGUAGAAUUCCAGGUGUAGCGGUGAAAUGCGUAGAUAUCUGGAGGAAUACCAGUGGCGAAGGCGACCUCCCGGACGAAAACUGACGCUCAAGCACGAAAGCAUGGGGAGCAAACAGGAUUAGAUCCCCGAGUAGUC
This 300-nucleotide ribosomal RNA is filed under the name uncultured Ferroglobus sp. Its description in RNAcentral is "bacterial SSU rRNA". It matches the Rfam family "Bacterial small subunit ribosomal RNA", at positions 496 to 795 of the family's 1533-position model. Lineage: Archaea; Methanobacteriati; Methanobacteriota; Archaeoglobi; Archaeoglobales; Archaeoglobaceae. The record is from RNAcentral.